This 1043-nucleotide long non-coding RNA is filed under the name Gossypium barbadense (sea-island cotton). RNAcentral's name for it is "long non-coding RNA (GBAR_LNC011661)". The record is from RNAcentral. Lineage: Eukaryota; Viridiplantae; Streptophyta; Magnoliopsida; Malvales; Malvaceae.
CAGGAUCACAUGUCGAGUAAAAGAUAAAUAUUGGAGUUAAUCGAAGAUGCAGAUUUUACAUCCCUGAAGUUACAGUGAAGCUAAUUGAAGUUUAGUAGAGAAGAUCGAGGGUACAAAUCUCUUCUCUUUAAAUCUCCGAAGUUGCAGUGGAGUGAAUCAAAGCAACAAUUCCUGUGCCCCUGAACAUGCAAUGGGAUGAAACGAGGCUAUUAGAAGAAAAGAAGUACCAAGAAGUUAAGAUUCAGCGAGACUAAGCAAAAUUGGCCAUUUUUGAGUCUUUGUUCCAUUCUCAUUACACGACAAUGAGCAAAGAGGGGCAGCUGUAAUGGCCAAUUUUUGGCCCAGACAAAUAAAAAAACAAAACCCAAAACAAUAAAAAAGAGCCCAAAUAACAGCCCACUAAUCUUAAGAAUUUUCAGCAGCCAACCCUAGCCCCAAGCCUCCAACCGCUGCUCCCCACGUGCUCGGGCAGCACGUUCAACGCUCGGCCACCACACCCCGCGCAUGCCCUCCUCCUUAAUGUGCCUGACACUCCCAUAACCUGCAAACAUUUGGAAAAGAGGAAAAAAUGGCAGCAAGAAGCACAAGCAGUAGCAGAGAAUAAAACAAACAAUAUUUUAAUAUGGGAAUCGGCUAUAAAGCCGAAAUGAAACUGAUUGUAAAGGGGGGGAUCCAAAAAAAUUGUAUCACUCGCAUAUUUUUCAAGGAAUCAAACAAAAAACACACAAAAGGUUGAUCUCCGAUUUUGUUCUAUUUAUUUUCGUAUUUUCGUUUUCUUGCUUCUUUAAUAUUUCUUUUAUUUUUUUAUACAAAUCUAUUAAACAAAGAUACAAAAAAAAUAAAAGGAAAGAGGAAGGAUUCUCACCAGAUCCGGCCCCGUCGUCGCGUUGUCGGAGCCCUCCCCUCCGUUUGGCGUGGUUGAGUCUAAAAAAGGGGUUGAACCAUUGUCUUUCGUUUUUGGAACGAGCCUCCAACAAGUAAAAAAGAGGGGGGGAGAGGGGGAGAGAGCAGGGAAGCUAUCUGUUCUUUUUGUUUAAAAUUGG